RNAcentral lists this ribosomal RNA (376 nucleotides) under uncultured bacterium. Its description in RNAcentral is "bacterial SSU rRNA". It matches the Rfam family "Bacterial small subunit ribosomal RNA", at positions 523 to 898 of the family's 1533-position model. The record is from RNAcentral.
AUACGUAGGGUGCAAGCGUUGUCCGGAAUUAUUGGGCGUAAAGAGCUCGUAGGCGGUUUGUCGCGUCUGCUGUGAAAAUCCAAGGCUCAACCUUGGACCUGCAGUGGGUACGGGCAAGCUAGAGUGCGGUAGGGGAGAUGGGAAUUCCUGGUGUAGCGGUGGAAUGCGCAGAUAUCAGGAGGAACACCAAUGGCGAAGGCACAUCUCUGGGCCAACACUGACGCUGAGGCGCGAAAGCUAGGGGAGCAAACAGGAUUAGAUACCCUGGUAGUCCUAGCCUUAAACGAUGAUGACUUGAUGUGUCGGGUUUGAGUCCCGAUGUGCCGGAGCUAACGCGUUAAGUCAUCCGCCUGGGGAGUACGGUCGCAAGACUGAA